Long non-coding RNA from Salvia splendens (bonfire salvia), 611 nucleotides. RefSeq lists it as uncharacterized. The record is from RefSeq and is a predicted model, not a curated record. The transcript has 3 exons. Lineage: Eukaryota; Viridiplantae; Streptophyta; Magnoliopsida; Lamiales; Lamiaceae.
UUUAAAAUUUUAAUGUCCGAUACAUCCAACAAAAGUCCAACGAAAAUUUAAUUUAAUACAUCCUUCGUUCUAAAGAAAAUCGGGUACUUCAACGUGGACAACCACGAGCUUGAACCGAGUUCUUACCUACACCAAAUUAAAUGAACAAGUGAACAAAUACUCAAAUAAUUAAUUUAAUAAACAAAUAAAAUAAAAUAAAAUAAAAUAAAAGAGCAGAUUUUUUUUCAGACAACAUUAAAUGCUGCAUUUAAUUAGAGAUAGGAAUGUAGGCAACUUGCUACACGUUUCUUUCACCGCCCUCUUUUAUGUAUAUGCAUAUAGAUAUACAAUCAUUUUCAUCCACCCACUUCACAUAAACAAAGCUCCCAUAAUACUCUCCCAACGACAAUACUCUCCCAACGAAAGCAGGAGGAAGCAAUCCACCAAGACCUUUGUCAUAGUAUCAUAAAAGAGACAAAUUCAGCAAUUCCUUUUCACAAUCAUACAAAGGUUAUCUCCGCGAGCUAAGGUCGGAGUCAGGAAAAAUCAAGUUAAGGAGUUUUAAACGAACAAGGUUGAGCAGCGAAGUGGUGGAGGAAGUGCUAUUGAGACAAGACAUUUAAUUCAGUCAG